UACGGGGGGUGCGAGCGUUGUCCGGAAUCAUUGGGCGUAAAGGGCGCGUAGGUGGCGGGACAAGCGUGCGGUGAAAGCUCGGGGCUCAACCCCGAGUCGGCCGUGCGAACUGUUUUGCUUGAGCACUGUAGAGGCAGGUGGAAUUCCCGGUGUAGCGGUGGAAUGCGUAGAGAUCGGGAAGAACAUCGGUGGCGAAGGCGGCCUGCUGGGCCGUUGCUGACGCUGAGGCGCGACAGCGUGGGGAGCAAACAGG
Molecule: ribosomal RNA, 253 nt
Filed under: uncultured bacterium
Lineage: Bacteria
Description: partial 16S ribosomal RNA
Rfam family: Bacterial small subunit ribosomal RNA
Source: RNAcentral